ACACCUCAACUCUCGUGGUCCGCCAUGAUGAGCUUGGACUUUGGGGGUCUUGCCGGCGUAGCGUCGGCUCCUCUCAAAUGGAUCAGCUAGCCAGUGUUUGGUGGCGUCACAGGUGUGAUAACUAUCUACGCUUGUGGUUUCCCGCCAUGUAACCUUCAGCGAUGGAGGUUCGCUGGAGCUCACAGAUGUCUCUCCUCAGGGAAGACGGCUUUUUGAAC
RNAcentral lists this unclassified non-coding RNA (218 nucleotides) under uncultured Thelephoraceae. RNAcentral's name for it is "sequence contains ITS2". The record is from RNAcentral. Lineage: Eukaryota; Fungi; Basidiomycota; Agaricomycetes; Thelephorales; Thelephoraceae.